Molecule: long non-coding RNA, 862 nt
Organism: Anolis carolinensis (green anole)
Lineage: Eukaryota; Metazoa; Chordata; Lepidosauria; Squamata; Anolidae
Exons: 3
Source: RefSeq, a predicted model, not a curated record
CAAUCCUUAACAUGUAGAAUGGGGAGGGGGAGAAGGAUAAUCUAGCCCCCAUCCCAGAUCCAGGAUGCUGCUGGACUUGUUUAUGGCAAGCCAGUACCCGAAACCUCGCCCUGGUCCUUAAACCAUCGGUGCUAAAUGGAAUAUAGUUCUAAAUUCCUAGGGGGGAAAUGCAUCCCGACAGUGAUUGAGUUUGGAUGGGAAACAUUUGUCUUUCCAGAUUUUUUUUUUUCCGGGUCAGGAGUGACAUGAGAAACUGCAAGUCGCUUCUGGUGUGAGAGAAUUGGCCGUCUGCAAGGACAAUGCAGGGGACGCCCGGAUGUUUUGAUGUUUUUACCAUCCUUGUGGGAGGCUUCUCUCAUGUCUACGCAUGGAGCUGGAGCUGAUAGAGGGAGCUCAUCCACGCUCUCCCUGGGUCGGAUUCGAACCUGGAAGCCUUCAGGUCAGCGACCCAGCCUUCAAGACUUUAACCCACUACGCCAUCGGGGGCUCCAGCUUUCCAGAUAACCAUCAGCCAUGGUCAUUGGGGCUUCUGGGACAUGAUGCCUAAAGUAUUUAGAAGGCCCUGUCCACAUCCUUAUUCAAGUUGUUGCCUUCGUUUUGUAAUAGCAUCUCUCAGAAAACAAAUGGCUUUGAUAUUUUUGGAUGCGGAAAAAAGUAUUUAACAAUGUAUCUUGGCCGUUUAGUAGGCUGUCAUAGAGAAGAUGCAAUUUGGACUUCAGCAUUCAGCUACUCUGUUUUUGUACCAUUUUGCCAGUUGAAGAAAUGUGGAGGUUUCGAAAACUUGGUCAAAGUUUCAUGUAUUUAUAUAUGUAUAUGUGUGUGUAAAUUCAUUUGGGCCGUGGAAAUAAAGUAUAAAGUUUAA